UGAACUUUGGAACCUUAUUCUGAACCCACUUUUAGCUCGAGGCCUUGAAAUUGUCUCUCUCAUUCUUUCUCCUCGAGUUUGGACUAUGACACGUCCGAGGGUGGAUGUAAAACCUUCAUUCAUUUGCAACAGUGUCGUAGAAUCUUCAGCUCAAGAGAGAGCUGUCUCGAUGACGUUGCCCUAAUGCACACCGGCCAUGCAGCCUGACGAUAUAUGUUCUCUCUUCAGCAUCGCCUUCUCCAGCAAACUCUCCUUGCAAGGCCAUGCAACGUGCCAAUGAUCUUCUUGGGAGACACUUCGACCUCGACUUCUCUCUCUCUCUCUCUCCUAACCCCGAAGAUUCCUACUCUUCUAUCAAGACGAUGAACCGGUAGAGUGAGAUGCUCAACACUGUGAGGAGUGGAUCAAGGAGCAUCAAAUUUCCUCACUGAAAUGCAUGUACAUGGAGUCUGAACUUUACCACCGGGAUGGCACACACAUCAGUCACCUUCUGAGUAGGUCAGGAAGGAAAUGCCUGCCAUCAAAUGAUGAAAACCCUAAUGUUUUGGUGUAUCUCCAAAGCGUUUGUGGCAGUAGCAAAUGAUCGACACUUGGCUAAAAAUAUACAGCAAGGUUUUUGAGGGUUAAACAAAGGAGAAGCACUCCUCCUUAUUUGCACCAUGCAACCUGGUUCUUAGCACACUGUGGUCUUCCUCCAUCUUUAAUGCAUACUAUCAUGAGCAAUCAGCCUUCAGUGUUUUGCAGAGUGAUUGCUAAUGAUGAUAUGCACGUCGACUGCAGAGCCCUCAAGCAUGCCGAGAACUCAUGGUGGCCAUCAGAAGGCUCCAUGGAGAGUUGGAACCCAGUAAUCUGCCCCGUUAUCGCUUUCGACAUCCAAGAAGAAGGAGACUGGAACGAGACAAAGUCCUCUACUCCUCAGGUCCUUCUUCGGUUCAACAUUGCCUUCCUGAUGGUAGGAACAAAAGCAGGGAAAGCAAUCACUCUUUUGGAAUCCAUCAUUUCUUCGUAUACAUGAUUUGAUUCUGUAAACGAUGAUUUGAGGUUAACUAAGCAAAGUAAGUACCUGGUCAGGUCGUCCUCUUUUCUUGCUGCCAUUUCCAUUUAGCAGCUGCCCAAGGAAGACACAAGCUUGGCAUUAAUGUCUUCCUUAAUAGCUUCAGAUAACAGAUUAUAUAGGCAGGUUAAGAUAACAAGAGUUUAUUUACAUGACCAGCUUCUUCUGCAAAUAUACGCCUCCUUUCUCCUUGUGCCUAGAAAACCAUGCUUCACCGAUCAGGCCGAACUCAGUGACAACAAUUCAGACAUACAAAAUCUUUGUCAUGUGAUGAAAGCCUACGUGACAAUAUUAGGUUUUGUGUAUCCAUCAAUAUCUUGCUAAAGAGAGAAAUGAUAUUAUAUCCUUUUAAGUGGUGUCAUGGUUACUGUAGAGAACGAAGUACAAUUUCCAUGGAGCAUUGCUAAGUGCAUGUAUUCAACAUAAAAAUGAGUCGUUAAUCUAUGCAUGCAUGGAUCGAGAAUCAGCACAUAGAUAUCAGAAAGCUUAUGUUCAUGAAUAUAUAUAUAGAGAGAGACAAAAGGAAGCAGCUUGUAAGAAGUUUCUCACACACAAACCGUGGGCUACAAGUGCUCACAGGUGUACGUGUGAGCACGUACACCUGUAUAGGUGCGUGCUGGAAUGCACGCACGUAUAGGUGUACGUGUGCGUGUGAGAGAGAGAGAUAUAUAUAUGAACGAAUAGUAGCUUUGGGAAGAGGGCAGAGUGGGGUUGGGAGUUGCAGUCACUCACAGGCUGCUUCAUGUUCCCUGAUCCACUGCUCAAGUACGGUGAGCUCAGAGCCUACACGAAAGAAAGGAAUGGUUGAGAGUGAGAAAGAGAACCGGAGAGAAUAAUCUCUCAUGUAUACGCUGGAACACAUGGCAUUUCAAGACACCCAUAACUCAAAGAUGCUGCACACUGACAAUGCUUCUUCUGCCACCUACUUUAACUGCGUGCUCUCAAACCUCCCCCAUCCUUUGUUUCACUUUUCUAGAGAGAGAGAGAGAGAGAGAGAGAGAGAGAGAGAGAGGGUAGACCUCAAUUUGACUCUGGAGGAAUCUGAUGUAGCCGAUGGCUUCUAGCAAUACAGACGCAGUGUCAGUCUGAAAAAGGAGCUCAUGUCAGGUAUCCUUUACUUGAACACCAAAGAAAAAGAAAUGGAAAAUAUGUGUAGCUUUGCAGCUCAAAGUACUGCGAGAGCUUUCACAAACAAGAACGCUGCGCAUACGCCCCCAUAUGUAGAUUCGAAACAGGCGGUAUGAGAUAAUGGCGAUACCUUCCCGAAAGGAGAAACAAUCUGGUGAAGUGCAGUUAUUCUGUCCCCUAACUUCUCCUUCCUCACCUGAAAACGAGCAAGAAAACAUGUUUUUUACCUUAACAUUUCCAAUUAUUUCUUACAUACACAAAGAAUUAAUUGGAGAGUUUGCUUGCCCCAUGUCAGUAGAAAUGUAGUAGUACCUUGAAAGUAGAAUGAGCUGAGGAGGUUCCCUGAACCCUAGCUUUCUUGAGAACUACACCAGCUUCUGUGCUGUUGCACUUGAAAGUGGAAAAAGAAGAAACAAGAACACGUUAGAAGCAGUAUCUAUCUAUCUAUCUAUCUAUCUAUCUAUCUAUCUCUCUAUCUAUCUAUCUAUCUAUCUAUCUAUCCAUCCCAAAGAAUUCUAACACUUAACACUUAUAUUGCUGCAGGACAUUACCAUGCAAAGCAAAGAAUAACGAGUAAACGGAGAUCGAUUGCUUCUAAUUACAACCGGCAAUUAUUAUCUCGGAUGGAGCAUGAAGAAAGAGUAGCCAACAUAUCACCUCGGGUGAGUUAUCUGGUUGGUGAUGCAUUCUCUCGGACUUGUUCGAGAAGUCCAGCAUGUUCCUGCCGAAACUCGCCGCGUUGCAAGAUCCAGGAGAGGAAGAUGGGAUAAUUCGGCUCCAUGGACUUGUAGAUGCUUGGAUCUCUUCACUGCCACCGCUGUGGAGGUAACAAUUUCCGGAGAUUUCUUGCUUUAUAUCAGACAUAUGAGGCGGGGUUGUUGAUGGGUACACUAGCCGAUCUUCCCAGUUCUUCAUCUUUCCAAUCUGGGGAGGUGUCAGCCCAUACUUCUCCUCUUCUGCCCUGGAAGAUUUCCAGCAAACCAAAGUAAGCAAGAUCCAAGAGAAUUUGAGGUAAUCAGUGCUGGCAAGUGUUAGAUGUGCAUAAAAUAGUAGAAGAACUGUAAGUCAUGAGAGGGAAAGAAGACGAAUUUUUUUGAUACUCAACAAGCUCAGCUCAUCAUACAAUUCGAAAAACCCUCUUGAGACUGAAAAGCUCUCUUUGUUUUUCUCCAAAAAGAAAGGAAAUCAUACAAGUUGAAGAACUGGAAAUCAUGAGAGGGAAAGAAGACGAAUUUUUUUGAUACUCAACAAGCUCAGCUCAUCACACAAUUCGAAAAACCCUCUUGAGACUGAAAAGCUCUCUUUGUUUUUCUCCAAAAAGAAAGGAAAUCAUAUAAUUAUUAGAGAGAGAGAGAGAGAGAAAGAGAGAGAGAGAGAGAGAGAGAGAGAGAGAGAGAGAGUUUUACAGCAAUAGCUGGCUCCAUGAUUCUGGUAGGUCUUGGCUACCAUGAAAAGGGAUCAUUGGAAGUGUAGUGGAGGGUUGUGGGUACUGAGGGGAGACUGAAGGAGAUGAAGAGGAAGAAGAGGAGGGUAGAAGAGGGAAGGUUUGCUCAGGAGGUGGCCUCAUGCUGUUCAAGCUCCAACAGUUGGAGCUUCCUCCCACCAUAUGCUGCACCAGAGAGUUCUGAAACAACCCUCUAUUCAUGCCUGAAUGCUUUGGGCGCACACUUGGUUCUCUACCAGGCUCUCUCCUUCUGCAACCUCUCCUUGCAACCCCAAGUCAACCCUUGGAAGCUUUGCUUCAUUUGCUUCUAUGGAUGAGGUCUGGAGAAGAAAGCAAAGGCCCCUUAUUAGGAGGAAUCUAAUCACCUGUGUACAUGAGGGAUGGAAGAAGAAGUGUCCUGUUUUGUUUUGCUUCCUUUUUCUCAAUCCUUCUUUAGUAUUUUUGCUCACCUUUUAUUUCACCCUCCUUUCUUUUUCUUCCUUACUUUUGCUUUUAUCAUAAAGUGGGGCAAAAAUUGGUGAUGCAGAGAAUUCAGACAAAAAAAAAAAAAGUGGCUUAAGGAUGGGCCUUAGUACCUAAAUUACCAUUGGUUAGAGACACACAAGUGAAUGUUGAACCUUUGUUACUUCACUCACCUAAUGAGGUUGAGGUAUUUUUGUGUGUAGAAGAAACUCUGAUAUUAUUGUCUUUAAAGAUAUUCUUCCAUCCCAAAAGGAAAAAGAAAAUCAAAAGUAUCAACCACCAAUAGAAUAUAAAAUUUAGAGAAAACUACAUAAUAAUAAUAAUAUAUGAAAAAAAGAAUUUUGCUAAAUUAAUUAAAAAUCUAAACCCAAAUCUCAUGAAUUUUGAAAAUUUUACUCUCAGUCUCUCUAAAAUCAAAAUCCAACAUUUUGAGCCUCUGAUUUUGAAUUCUCAUCCAUAUCAUGAAGAACAUAGGAAUUGUUUGGUAGCUAGUGAAGGGUACCAACAAAAGAUGGAUCCUGUGGAUGGUAGUCCUGCUGUACUAUAGUACUUCUUUCUAGCUAUUAUUACACUAACAAAGUGACCACAUAUACAAAUAAUGAGCAACUUAUUUAUUGUUUUACUAUUAUGAGCAUCCCAAGGACCACCUUAUCCUUAGCCUGAUAAAAUUUGAGAUCAUUUUGUUAAUUUUUCUACAAAACUUUAGGAAGAAGGAGAAGAUAAUUGUAUAAAAAAUUAGGAGUGCUUUUGUAAUGAUUUAGAUUGAUCCAAAAGCACCUAUUUAUAUUAACUAAAAGAUAUAUUAUAAUUUUUUUAAAAAAUAAUAAUAAAAAAAUCUAUCAUAUCCUAAUAAAUCUUUUCAUCCUAGUCUAUUUAUUUAAUCUUAACACAUAUUACAUGGUAACUUAAAUACAUUAUAACUAUACAUAUAAUGCCAUGUAUAGUUAUAGACCAACAUGAUUGAAUAAUUGAGACCAGGGAAUAAAAAAUAACCUAAUUUUCCCAGCCAUGGUUGAAACUGCAUCAUUUUAACCAUGGUUCAGAAGUGUAUAUGCAUCCAUUAGCAGCACUAGGCAAUGAAACUAAGGAGAAGUAGAGGUAACAACUGAUGCAAUGAUGAUGAGGAGAUGUUAGCAUGUUGUUAUUGAGAUGGUUAUGGUGAUAAUGUAAGUCACUACCACAGAACAAGAACAUAUUUCUCAGCUCCUUCUCAUAAAAAGCCUUCACCUAUUUUACCUUGAUCACAUAAUCACAAGCAAGUGAAAUUUUGAAUCUAUCCCCAUUUUACUCCUCAGAAUAGAGUUUAAGCAAGCAUUGCAUUAUAAUAUUCCCAGCACCACCUGCAGUGUUGCAGUAGUCCAGCAAAUUCCCUUGAUUUGUGUAUGCUUCCUAUCAUUCCCUUGGCUGCAUAGAAUAAGUCCUUAAAUGCAGAGAGAGAGAGAGAGAGAGAGAGAGAGAGAGAGAGUAGUGGACUUUAAGGAGGAAAGACUAAUGGUUUCUAUACACAGUACCAUAUUCAGCAUCUUUGUCCUCUCCAUGAGGCACUUUUCAAUUCACAUACUCUUCCUUUUAGCUCUUACUUGGAAGCCGCACUCCUCUUGCUUGUCUUCAUCUGCUCAUGCCAAUAUUCCUUUCCUCUCUCUUGCUUUCUUCUGCUUCUUUUGGUGAGCAGCUGCAAGGGUUCCAAUCACAGAUUUUGAGCUGCAAAGUCCUUGCUGGGGAAUUGAACCUGAAAAAAAUUCCUGCAAGAUACAAGAGUUACAACCUGAAAAGUAAAAGAUAUGCCCCCAUGGGUGCUGGAAAUAAAACACUACUUUUCCUUUGGAGUUACCUACUCAUGCAUGCACAUGUUUUGCAUGUGGGGAUAUGGACCCUCUUGCAUGAUACUAGCAACAAAGGAAAAGAUAAGUUUUGAAGUUUGAUUUGACAAUCUAGCAAAGCUGGCAAUGAGUCAAUUCAGUUCAUAUUGAGUUCAAUACCACAACAACAACAACAUCAGCAUCAUGUAAGACUCUAAUUAUAUUCAUGUUGUUUACAUGGAUCUUAUAAUUUUUUUUGGCUUUUGUUGUGUGAAGAAUGGAGAACUUAAAUCUAGCUCUCCUCCUAAUUAAUUCCUAAUUUGAGUUUCUAAAUGCUGCUCAGCUCAUUAUGAAUUGAAAUGCACAUAAAAAGCUUCAAUUAUUAACCCUGAAUUGUCUACUUAAUUCUCAUAUUUAUCCUCUAAGACUUGCCUACAACAAUGUAACUCUUUAAUAAGGGAAAUACAAUAGGUUAUCACAUAACUGACCCAUUAAUAACAUCAUCAACCACUUAACAAAAUCCAAUUAUAAAAUAUCAUGUCAUUAUGAAAUUAGGACUGCUUACAUCAAUCGAAUGUAGAAUAAGUAAUUACUUAUUAUUAAUUUAAUUUAUUAUUGUGUGAUGCUCUACAGUGAAGGAUCCAAAUCUUUUUCUUUCAUCUUUUUCUUUUUUGGAGGAAGCAACACAUAUAUUUGUUUUGCUAUAAUGCUUGCACUCACUAAAUCUAAAUUAAUGCCUAUAUUUGUAUCAAGCUAACUAUAUGGUUGUGAAGGGCACAUUAAUUUAGUGAUGAAUUAUUGUGGCCUAAAUGGAAUCUUCGCUGAGGUAAUAUUCUUUUUUAUGAUGGUAAAAGAAGAUUCACCAAAAAUAUUUCUAGUCUCAAACAAAUCCCAAGAUGAUCAGCAUGACUGUAUAAUUAAUCAAGAUUAGCAUACAUGAAAUAAGAAAAUCUUGAUCUACAAUUUUUUACUAUACAUGCAUCACCUGAUUGAUCACUCUUGCAAACCAUGAUAGAAUGAGAUUAUUAUUUUAGUUCAUAUGAGUAUGUUCAAUUUGUCUUCUUCCAAGAUUGAUUUCCACCACCAAGCGGACUUGGGAGGAUGAGGAAGAUGGAGAGGAUUAAUGAAAGCUGCAAUGCUUCUCUCGAAGGAGCUCGAGAACAGUAACUCCCAUGUCGAUGCACGUGUAAACGAGCAUAAAGCGCAUGAGAAAAGCCAUGAUGAAAGGAAGAGAGGAACAAAGCAGGAAAAGGGACAAUGGCAGGGUCCCGCGUGCCUGCCUGGGUCGAAGGAAGAGGAGGAAGGAGAGAAAGGAACACUGGCGAUCGAAUGGUGGUGUCAACGCUGACCUGACCCUAUCGACACACCUCGUCACCUCUGUGUGCGUUCUUCUUCUUAUUCUGAAACGCCAACACAUGUCCUCAUGAUCACUCCAUCACCCCCGCCUUCUCUUCUUCCUCCGUCAUGCACGUAUCAUACCCGAGUCAUUUAUCACCCAUAGGUUCCUGCUGAUACCAUCCUACACUGCAACAUUAAGGAGGGAUGUUUAAUGUAUUCGAGGAGGGAGUACGAAGCAUCGCUUUUAUAUAAUCCUUUUUCCGGGUAUAAUUGCUUUAUUGAUCAUGAUGACAUGCCUUGAAAGAUGUGAUUCUGAUGCUGCUUUUUAUUAGGUUUCUACCCCCCACAAAAGCACGUCCCUUAACGACAACCUACAUGUAUUAUAUUCUAUAAACUGAAGUCUCAACACAAAUUAGAGCGAGAGAGAGAGAGAGAGAGAGAGAGAGAGGAUUGCACUGGCUGGCCGACAAGCACUUUGUUCUUUAGCACUCGAGAACUACUUGACCUUGAAGCAUCAACUAUCCCAUUAUGUAUCGUCUUUCAUCCCUUUUUCCCGGUAAUAUCUAACAUUGAAAACUGUUGUAUGCUUCUCCUUGCUAGUCUAUGGCUAUAUAUAUGUAUAAUAAUUGUGAUGAAUGUAUUCAUCAGACCUACGAGACUAACAGCAAGCAUUGGAUCAUGAGCUGACUUGCAUGCUUACAACUUUGCUUAGAACCAAUUCUGACAUGAUUGCUAAUGAUCAUGACUCGCAAGUCCUCGCUGCAAGGAUGAAAAGAAAUCAUAUCAAACUCAUCGCUCUUAUUGUGGUUGAACCUGUGAUCAUUUCGUAUCAGUCAGUAGGUGCAGAACAAAGCCAGGGUUCAGCUUCUUUCUGGUACAGGAUUCUGCAUGGAUCUUGAUGAUGUCCACAAUGGUCGUACAAACAUGAUACUGCUCCACCAAAUAUCUUCUUCUUCUUGGAUUUCUUUUUUCCUUUCCUUUUCUUCUUUUACCUGUAGACAUCAUCGCCUGCUGGGGUGAAGGAUACGCAUGCAAAGCGACUGCAGAAAGGACACGGUACUAUCGAUCAUCUGCAUAUAUGGAUGGCAGAGAGCAGAACAAAACUGCAAUAAGGGUCGAAGCUUGGCAAGGAGGAGAGGAGGAGGACAUGGUUGGCGACUUGUGUGGAGCAAGAGAAUGUAUGUUUUGCAGCAGGUUGGCUCCACCGGCCUGCCAUGUUUGCUGAAAGAGAUGCACGAGGGGCAUGUGAUGGGACACGCUGGUUUUAACAUAUUCUUGAUGGCGAAUUCCCAGGGCCACACAUUUCCAUCAAUGAUGCACACAUUCUUGGGCUGCCGAUUGCUUGCAAUUGGAUGACGAGGAGGCCAUCUUGUUUGAAGUCCAUCUGCCACAUCACAGCCACUGAUCCGUUCGGAAGGAAGACGAUGCGAAACUCGAUGAUCGGGCUCAUAUUUGCGGAUUACAAAUUAAUGCCUGUGGAACAUCCGGUGGGUACGAAUGACUGUAUCCUUCCUUUUUUAUAAACCAUGAAUGGAGAUUCUAUCUAUUUUUGGUGAACCUCUUGGAGAAUAAUAACACCUUGUUUUGUUUUCGACCAAGAGUUAGGAACCCCACCUACUGUGACUAAUCGAUCACCUUAAAAGAUUACAACCAUAGAUAAACAAACGAAUCCACCAUGCUGAAUCACCUUAAAAGAUCGAUCGAUCUUUGUAUCUGUUCCACAUAAAUGAUUACAAAGUCUCAAAUUACAUUGGAGGAUCCAACUAACCCAUCGCUAUUACACAACUCAAAUACCAUCUUCUUCCCCAAAUCAAAUUGGUACAACGCUAGUAUCGUUCAAUGUCAAAAAAUCCAAGUAUCAACUCCAAGAAAUAAAUAAAACAGAAGAUGGUAGUUUCCACCAUUGGAUAUAAGCUUAAUACAACAGAUCACUAAACUCGGAUGCAAAAUCUUCCAACUUAAUCUGCCCACAUCAAUUUCACCCAUUCAUGUAUCUACCUCUUCCUCACUACCUUCAUCACCGUCGACCUCCGUGUUAGUGGACUGUAGUUUUGCCAUAUGUUCAGCAAGUAGCUUAUCAUCUCGUUCGCUCACCUGCAAAAGCAUCCAAGAUUCAGGCAUAGCCAGAUCAUCCAAUACAAUUGCAUCAUCCACCAAAAAGGGAAUUCCAAGGCUAUUACAAGUGUUCUAAAAAUGUUCAGAAAAGACCAUUUUGUCGACAGCACUCAAAACUGUGAUGUACAGACUGCAAAAACUUGGCAAUCAACCAGACCAUUAUAUUGUUCAAAGAUUUGGACAAGAACCAGAGCAAGAAGCUCAAUUAACAAAACCGCAAUGUAACGCUUCUCCUUUGCAAAAGGGAAAGCAACAAGAAUACACCAAGAGAAGUAUAAUAUAAAAUAUAACUUACAGCUCUUGGUGCCUCCUUCAUAGUAAGUUUUCCCUUGUGUCGUUCUAUCUCUUCAGUGCAAGCCUUAAUUGCAUUAUUCAGAAUUGAUAUGCCUUGUUCCUACACAGGGCACAGACAUCGCAGUAAGAAGAAUAAAAAAUCAAGAACCAUAAUUAUACCUGUUGACUCAAAAUAUACCUGACAAAACAUAAAAUAAUCAUCACAAUCUCUAUAGCUCAAGUCUCCAAGAAUUAAAUGAAGAUUCAUGAAGAGUCAUUGUGCAUUUGUAAGAAGAUAUAAGAGAAGAAUUGAAUUAUAAACAAUGUUUAUAAUGAGUGAUCAAAUUGAUGUCUUGUUGUUAAAAAUAGUAAUGAACACUGGAAGUACAAAUAUCAACAGACUCAGCACCAAUAUUACUGAAAAAAUACGUAGGGACUAUUUGCCAGAGACCCAUCAGUCUCAAAGCCCAAAAAGAAACAGAACACUCUACACAGUCAUUUAACUUAUUUGUGAGAUUUAGCAUAGCACUUCCUCAGAAAAUCAGAUGUCUGCUUGCAAAUCGAAACAAAAAUAUUCACUCCCAUUCCAGGAAUAACUGAAGUGAGAGAUCCCGGAUUAAUGGCAGUGACCGAAGAAUAGUCAGAACUAGCAAUAACAAAUCAGUACAAGUAACAGAACCAUUCAUAUCCUCAGACACAUUUUCAUGAAGAUAUAGUUUUGUACAAGUUAAACAUGAAACAAAUAGAUAUUAUAUCUGCAUAAUCCAUUUCCUAUAGACAUCCAAUUUAAAUGGUUUUAUGCUACAUUCAAGUACAUCAUGCCAUCACGAAACCCUAAGCUCCAGUAUGGCACCAUUGGUGAUAUUCUAAUUAUGGGUAUGAAGUUAUGCCAUGACUGACAGUUUGAUACUUUUUUUUUUUACCUCUCUGUUUAUGAAAUCAUGAACAGGAGAAAUUUUCAGAAGACUUACUGAUGAAAGUUCAACGAGGUUCUAAUAUGAUAAUGACAAACACAGAACAUCACAUUUCAGAAGUUAGAAUUUCUUGUUUAUUUUGAAAAAAAAGACAAAUAUUUCACUGCAAAUUUGUAUCCUAAGGUUAAAUUAAGUAUGAAAUGAGAACCCUAAAAGAAAAAAAACAGUCAAGCAAUUGCACAAAACCACAGGGUUAAUUGGAUUAUAAGGGGCCAGCCAUUCCACAAUACCAGCUCAAUAAGUGAUGUAUGAGUUGACUCAAAACUUCAAGUGAACUAUUCAAGUCUUCAUAAAAUUUGGACGAAUUAUUGUAACAGUAUAUAGUAAAGAAUGUGGAUAGCUAAGCAAUUCAACAGCAUUCUAAAGUUUAGUUACACCAGUGUUUGGUUAGUUGAUAAAUAUUGAAAGAUGUGUACAAGUCCAAACAGCAUUCUAAUCCAUGAUUUGAGAUAGAUGACAUGUAGGGUUAUUUCAUUCACAUGGUGGUCCGUGAUCCAAUAGCUUGUUUGUCAAUUAUUACAUUAGUUGAGAUAUCUUGGUCUUGCUAGGCUAUAUAUUAUAUGCAUUUGAUUGGUCUCGUACUAUCAGUCCUCAUGCUUGUAAGAAGUUAUAAACAGGGGAAGCACCACACGUCGCAACCUAUGUUGUUUUCCACAUAUUUCGAGUACCUAAUUAUGUAACUCGUGAUAUUGUCUUUCCUAUAUGAUACUUGAAUACGAUAUUCAAUCUCAAGGAACUAGAUCAGGUACGUUUCUAUCCUGAUGGCUUGAAAGGGCUUCGCUGCUAGAGUAACUAAAAAGAUAUCUGUGCUACACAGUAUAAGUUAUGUAGAAGAUCAUUCGAGUUAGAUAAAAUGGAAUAACAAAAUCUUGUUUACCUUAUCGAGAGUCUGAGUAGUGAGAACAUAGAGUGGAGGGGCAACUAGCUUGAUCUUCACGGGACAAUCAUCAUUUCCUGCAGCUUCAGCUUUCCUCAUAGCUUCCUGUGAGGCAAUGGUUCAAAUAUAACCUACAUCAUUACAUGCUUCAUUUUAUAGCACAAAAAAUCCUCAGCAUAAUAGCAUCAAGAAUUUCAAUAAAAAAAUGUAUGCGAGAUCAAUUGAAAAAAAGAAGAAGAGAGAUUUGGCUAAAGUCAGGCAUCAGUACCUUAAUGUGAAGAACUCCAUCGAACUGGAAGCAUUUCAUCUCUAUAUCAGCACGUAUCUCCAGUGGCUGCAGUGUCAUCCUUCUCGUAAUAUUCCUGACCAAAGCAUCUUUCACCUCAGGCGUCACCGCACGUACCACCUUAGUCACCUGCGGUUAUCCUGAUCAAGAAACACAACUAUACAAGUCACAGUAACAAGUUCAACAACUACAAGACCAAGAAAAGGACCUCCUGCCCAUCUGCUCCAACUUCCUUCGCUUCUCGAGUCAGGGCAUCAAGAACUGAGUCCGGAUCCGUCACAAUUAUCUUGAGUGCCUAAGGAAAACAUUUACAAAUCGAAUCUUUAUUGGUUAAGUGGCGAAAUCAACAAAGAACGAACUGAAUUGCCUGCGUUGCUGAGUGAUACCUCGAAAGCGUGGCCGUACUUGCGAUAGAGGGGCCACCCGAUGUGGAUGUAGAGCUCCUCGAGGUCAAUGUCCAGGGUCUCCGCGACAUGGCGCAUGAUGGAGUGGACGAGCUUGCUCUUGUUGUACCGCUCCUCGCAGGCCUGAAUAUCCUCCACGGAGACGCGGCGCUUGGAGAGAUCGAUGUAUCCCUUGUCGCGGUCGACGCGGAGGACCAUGACGGGCUCCUGGCGGCCGACCUUGAUGAGGGAGGAGACAGAACGGAUGCGAAGGCGGGAGAGCUCGGAGAAGAGGAUCAUACCCUCGAUGUUGUUGUACUCCAGGAGAGAGACGUAAGCGCCCAUGUCCGCUAUGUUCUUCACCUGGAUCAUCACAGCCAUGUCCACCUCCGGGUACUUGGCCUCGUACAUCCGGCACUCAAGGUUCGGCAUCUUCGACGACUCCACGAUAGAAUCGAGAGUUAGGGUUCUUCUGAUGGGAUUAGGGUAUGAAGGAUUCGCGGAAAGCGAGAAAUGUCGCAGGCGGAGGGCAAAACGAGGGAUUAGCGUUGGAGGCGUCGGGUUUAUGGUUUGGAGAUGACGGGAAAGAGGAGGGCUACUUACAUAUUACGCUCUUAGCAUCGUAUUUGGACAUAUCUAUAAUUAUAGAAGAUAAAAUAUAUAUUAAUUUUAUUGAUAAAAGAUAUAACACGUGAGUUUUAUAUUGAUAUUUAAUUUAUACUAACAAUGUCAAUUUUAUUAAUAAAAGAUAUCACAUGUGAUAAUAAAAUUAUUAAUUUUACUAAUAAUAUGCAUAGAAUUAUCAAUUUUAUCAAUAAUAAAAUGAUCAUUUUAUGCAUUAUCAUUUUAUUAUCAAGUAAAUCCACCGUUGUUGACAUAUAUAUAUCCUCUUAUCCUUAUCCAUCAUAUAUACUAGUAUAACGUCUUCAUCAACUUCUCCUCCCCUCCUCCAUAUCGCCCCACCUCUAGGCAACCAUAUCGAAGGCCUCCAUAGUUCGUGAGAACUGCACUUGUAUGAACCUAUGACACUCAUCAUGCUACCAAGUCAUAUUAGGUAGAUAGACAUAUAUCGAUUGUCACAUCAUAGGUUAGUAUGGAUAGUAACGUAUUCUUUUCUCUCGGGCCAUAAACAUCAUUGGAAUAAAUAAGAUUAAAUAUUUUAUUUUUAUAAUUAUAAAAAUAUUAAUAUAAAUUUUGUAAGUGUAUGAACGAAAAUAGUAAGAGGAUCACAUAAUAUGUAAUUAAAUUGAAGAAGUAUGCCUCAAGAGUAAGCUGGAAGGUGUUAUAGAUCAAGCCUGAAUUCAAAUUGGACUAUAUAUAUAUAUAAUAUAUAUAAUUGUGACAAUAAAUAUAAGGGUGACUUUAUUAAAAAAUAUCCUCAUUUUGGAUAUUUGCUAAGUAGUUAUCUCAUUUGAUUUUUUUUAACCAUACCCUCUAAUAUAGAAAAUACUAAAACUAUCCAGCUUCACUAUCCUCCACCGUUGUCAUCAGCCAAUGUCCACCAAUUACCAAAUACCCUUAUUUUAGAUUUUUUAAAAUAAUUAUCUCAUUUUAUUUUUUUUAAAACCAUACCCAAUAAUCUAGAAAAUAUAAAAACUAUCCUUCUCGAUCGUUGUUCACGCGUUGUCAUCAUCCCUUUCUCGCCUAUCAUUUAAUCAUUGUCAAGGUAGACGAUGGGUGAUAAGGGGCGAUGACGAGCGGACAUCGGACGAAGAUGGGUGAGGGACAGAAGAGUUAUAAUGAAGAACAAUUUUGAUAUUUUAUAGAUUAAAUGGUAUAGUUUGAAAAAAAUUAAAAUGGAAGUAAUUAUUUAAGAAAUACCUAAAAUAAGGGUAUUUUCUAGGAAAAUCUCUAGCUAUUUAUGGAUGUCUAUUAAUUUUUUUAUAUUAUUAUAAUUUAGAUAAUCAUAUUAAUAGAAAGAUUAUCUUGGAUAUUGUUUUCAAUGUACAUGGGUAAUGGGUAAUUGAGCAAUUACCUUGAAUAUUUUUAAUUGCAAGAGUUCAAUAUGUCUUAGAUAACGUAAUAGGACUGUCAAUUGCAAGAGUUCAAUAUUUUUUGUGUUUUUACCAGUUAAUUAGUCUUUCUUUUGGGAAAAGAAAUUGCAUUGGCAUUUUAUUUUAAGUUUUUAUUAUUUCAAUUAGACAAUAAGGAUACAUGGGUCUUUUUAAAGAAGUCUUUUGAGUGUCAUAGUUCCAACUACUUUACAAAGUUUUGAUUAUAUUCAAAUUACUUGGAGGAGUUAACUAUUUUUUUUAUGUAUUAAGAUUAGAGAUCUAACUAAAGAAAUGAGUCAUUAAUGAAAUAGAAUUUAUUUUUAUGUAUAGGUCAUGUAUUACAAAGCCUUGGAUUUGAGUUUAAGUUAGUCGAGAAGUAAUAUUCUUUAUAUUUGAUUUUUAUAUAGUAAUUUUUUUUUUAUUUUCAUCAUAAAUGUAGAUAAUGAAUGUCAAAUUAUGUUAAUCUUUAUGUCAAGCUUUUACUAUGUUAUUUACUCGUUGAUCUCUUGAUUUUUUUUGGAUUUAUAAAUAUACUCUCCCUCUCUCACAUUAAUCUUAUCUUUUAUUAGGUUUUUGUGUAGGAAACUUUUAGGAAGAAUCAGAAUGAGUUUGUUUUAUUGGGAAGAAAAGGCUUCACAUUUGAUGUUCUUUUAGGCAGCUGACAAAACCAAUGAUGUUACUCUCAUGGCCUCUCCCUCGAAGAUUAAAUCGAGGUAUGCCAAAUUAUAUGUUAAGUGACAGAAAUCUAAGAGGGUGGGAUCAUGACAUGGCACUCAUGAAGAUACAUCAAUUUAUCUAAUUAGUAAUGAGAAUAAUAAUUUAUCUAAUUAGUUUAUUAUAAUCAGAGAUUAUUCCUUUGAUGCUUUUUUAAACGAUAUAGAAAGUCGUCGGAACUCGCAAAGAAGAUUAUCACAAAGUCCAUGAGCUUGCCGGAAGUCCGUCGGAGUAUCGUCGAGGGUUCAUCGGAUGUUCGUCGGAAAUACGUCGAAAGCUCACCGGAAGAAGUGAUUGACGCACUGGAACACAAAUUUAUAAUAAUUAAUUAUCGUAGUUAGAGUAUAGAUUAAGUUAGGGUUGGGAGAUAAUCCCACUAACUUAAUUAGGGAUCAAUUGAACCCUUAACAGACCUAAAUUGGGUUGAAUGUAACAACCCAUUCGGACCCAGAAUUCUUAGGAAAAAUAUUCACACCAAUAAAUAUAAGACAUGCGAUAACACGAUCACUGAUAAUAGGAAAAAAAUUCAUACUAAUAAUAUAUAUAUAUAUUAUGUUCAUACGUCAUAAUAUUUAUUUAUUUUAAAUUUAUUAUAAAAAAAUACUAUGAUAAUAAACGUCUUCAAUUAGAUAACUCUAUCGUUAUUGAUCUAAGCAUUAAAGAAACCACAUCGAGAACUCGAUUCAAUCACGACAUUUAUAUAUUUUGUACAUGCUUUUGUACAUGCGUUAUUGAUCUAAGCAUUGAAACCGUAUCGAGAACUCGAUUCGAUGACAAUAUUUAUUUAUUUUGUACAUGCAAUACAGAAUUCAUCAAUAAUUUUUCAUCAUUAACUAAGUAAAAAUAUAGGCCGUUUGUGCUUUGUCCAUAUUUUGGCGCAGUAAUAUAGUUUCUUUUUUUUGUUUCUUAAGAAAAAAUUGAAUGUUUUAUUUUAUGUUUAUAUUAGAAUUUUAAAUACAUGAUAUUUUUAAAAAAGACAAGGAUAUAUAUGCAAAAACUCCUUUCAAAUAUCACCGAGGGUCCGUUAUAGAUCAAAAAAAUCCGUUGAGACGCACAACUCGAUCACGCUCGUUUCCACCGCCUCCGGCGUCCUCGGCGUCGAUCCCAACCGACCUCGAUGGCGACAUCCGUCUCUCCUCUUCCAUUUGAAUCUGCGUCCGUCUCCUCGACCCUCCUCGGACGAUCGCGGCCAACUACCUUGUCCCCGCCGUCUCCGGCACCAAGAACCGCCUCCCUCACCUCCUACCGCCUCCAGAGUGGAGUCAACUGUGGGGAUUCGGGAUCUGUUAUCCCCGGAUCGGUAUUCAUAGCAUUUCACUACGAUCACUGCUGGCACAUGGCGGUACACUGAUCCCUCCCGACAUGGUCACUUGUGAGGGAUCUCCCCGUAGGAACUUUGUAUCCAUCCCCACCCCACCCCCCCCUCCUUUGCAUUUGGAACAGAUCGAAUCGCGUUAUACAUCUGGCAGAUCCGGCUGUGGCGGCCAUGACAGCUAGGGCUUGGCAGGGGUUUGUGAUCGUCCACCUCAUCUUCUCGACUCUUUUCACUGCGCUCUACGAGGAUAAGUCCUGGUGACGGAUUGGUUUGUAGAUCCUCUUUUAUAUUACUUCUUUUCCCGUCGUCAUGUGUGUUUCCUUCUUUUAUGCAACUUCGAAUAUGUUGUCCAGGUUUCUUCUACUUCUUUUGAAUUCUUCCUCAUUAAAGCAAUCAAACAUGUACUUUGAAUCUCGUCCCUUUUGUUAUGCAAUCAUACCAAUAGUUUCAUAAAUCUCUUGCUUCUCGAUGUGUUAUUAGUUUGACCUUAAUAUCUAUAUGCUAAAUUUUGCAAAUGAAAUAAAUGAUGUUUAUCAAGUAUUUUCUGGAGCUAGAUUUUUCUGAUAUCGGGAUGAUUACUAACAAUAUUUUAGAACAUUAGAGAAUUACCAUCAGUUAGGAUGGGUUCCUUGUAGUCGUGUAAAGUUGCAAAUUUUAGAUGAUAAAUCAAGGAAACGAAAAUUGCAUGCAAUUGAGCACAACAUCUAGAUAAUGAGAUUUUGAUCAUGCACUUUAUCAUCUAAGAGGUUGAGCUGAAUACUGUAGAAACUAUAGUUUUUAUUUUGUAUCCAUAUGUUUGUUCUUACAUGUAUGUCGUUUCUUCUUUUAAGUUUUACAUGGUUAUUGGUGGUAAUGAUUUCAGUAUUUCUGCUACAAAUAUUCUUGUUGAAAUUAGAGAGGCACUAACCUUUUCGUACUUGUACUUCUCCUUUUCAGUCUGUUAUAAUAUUAAAUUAAUUAGAUACAAUUAGGUUUCUUUCUUCACAUCAAAUUAUUUUGAAUCUUAAAGAGCAGAAACUAAUUGUAAAAGAAACCCUUAUGAGGGAGAACGAGUAGGGUAGUCAAACCUUUUUCAGCCCUUGAUCUAACUCUGUGCUUUUGGGGCUUAUAAUUCCAAUCAUAAAUCACAUUUGUUUUCUUGGCAAGAGUCAUGUUCUUCUUUCAGUCAAAGUCAUUCAGCAUCUAGAUUGCAUAUGUUCAAUCUGAUAGAGUAUAGUCAAAAUCUUUUUAAAUUAUCCAACCAUAUUUUAAUAACAUAAGAUGAUUUAGUUGAGUAUUUUAGGGGCUCAAAUGACCAUUCUUGUUAAAAUGUAUAAUUAUUUAUUGAAGUUGAAAGACAUUUAUAUGGCAUGAUGUAGUUUAUUAAAAGCAACUUUUCUUUGUGACACUCAUAACAUUGAAACUGUAUACCAAAUGGGACCACCAAUAUCUCCAUUUUGAAUGUCAGUCUGGAUUGGCUCUCUACGCUGCCCAAAACUAUCCAGUUUGGUUUGGCUUAUAUGUAAGAUGUAGGUAAUCCUUUUAAACAGUACCUCCUUGUUUUGUUGAACUUUGACCAUCAAGUCAAAAUGUGAACAGUCUAUCUUGUUUCUCCUGAUGUUAGUAAACUACACCGACUUGUUUUAGAUCAGUAAAACCAUUGGUUCUUGAGUAUGGUACUCGUCUCUAUUGGAGGGCUCACAUGGUUUGAGAUUUUCUUGGGUCAUGUGCUGUAGCAAAUUAGCCAAAAGCAUUUUUCCCUGCAUUAUGUUUAUUCUCAAAAAGCUUGUGCCACGUUUUGUAGGAUCGACCUAUUCCAAUGGUGGAUCGAAUCACCCAACUGAUAUUGAAACCCUUGGGAAAUUGUGGAACCAGUUGGACUUGGCAGAGUUAAUCAAACUUGAUUAUUUUUUAGCUGAUUCUAAUUGCUUUUGACAAAUUAUCAUUAGUAUUGAUGAGCUUUGGCUACUCUUAAUCUCUAUCAUUACUGAUUCUUUGUGGCGCAAUCAAUGUUUGACGGGUUUCUUUGCUUCUGGACUAUAGCCAACUUUUGGUCAAUCAUGGACAUUUUGAAUUGAUUUCAUGAAAUCUGAUAAGACAAUAUGAUUCUGUUGGUGCAUAUUAAUCUCAAUUUCAUCUAUCACCAUUCUUGAACUGAUCUCAAUCUCAUGAACUUUGGUCAAGUAUCAUCAUUUUCGAAUGGUUGCCUUCAUCGUUUAACCUCUAGAUGUAGCUAUUGAUGCUAACUUCUGUGUAUUUCUGUCAUGAUUUGUGUAUUUGUUUCUUAAUUUAUUAGUGUACCAUUUUUGCCUUCCGAAGAUGUAUCCAAGCUCACAUUAUCUUCUCAUUUCUUUUAUCAACUUUGAUACCUUCCAACUAGAAGUUCCAAAUGAGAGGGAAGACCUCCAUUUUCCCUAUCUACCUAUCGAUGUUUUAGAUAUCAUUUAUUAAGCUAUGUGUCCCCUCCAGCCUGUGUAAAUUCUGGCUGUUUCUCUGAAUAAGAGGCAUGUGAUGAACUUACUGGAGUGGUUCAAAAGGACACCUUUAUGAUGUUUUAAAGGGGUGAUAAUUGGAAUUUAGGUUGGUCAAAUAUAUGACCAUGGCAUAGCCAUGGAUUAUUGUAUGCACAUAUGCAUGCUAUAUCAUCAUGCCUUUGCAAAUUAAGAUGUGCCCAUGUGUCAUAGCUAAGUUGUGCAUCUACUAUGUAUUUAUGUACGCAUAUCAGAAAGAUGUCAAACUAUUUAUUCUUUUUUUCUCGUCUGGAGAUUUCAUAUAUACAUGUAUAUAUACAUGUGUUAGGGUGGACCUUGGUACAACACUAAGCUUGCUCCUUUUCAACCUUGUGGCCAAUUUUUGAGUCUCAAAAAUAGCUUCUCUAAGGUAGAGGGAAGGCUGCAUAUAUGGAGAAAUAUAUAUACAUAUGCAUGUAUAUAAUAUAGUAUAAUAUAAUAUAAGAAUACUUAAAUUUAUAAAUUUAGGCAAAUACUCCAAGCAACUCUUUGUAUAAGAUUGUGGGUAAUAUUGCUUGACCUGGUGACCUUGUUGGCGGUUGUGCUGUUGUAAUCAUAAUGUCUAUGAAGACUUAGGAAUAUCCUUUGAGCUAAAUUUCCUGUCCUCUGUUCUACCAGACUUUGAGCGUGCUAUUAUUUAGUUCAGUGGAUGAUUUGUAUACUGUAGUUAUAUUAGUCAAGUGGAUGAUCUUUUUUUUAUGGCUAUAUUUUGAAUAGAUUAAGCUGCCCAUUCUCAAUACACAGGAUAAAACUGGGAGAAAACAUGUUGUAGCACUUAUGGAAGAGAAUGUCAUUCCUUCUCUUGAUCUCCAUGCAGAUGAUAGCUGUCAGUUUGGACUCAUAUAUUCUGUUAUCGUGUUAGUUAUCAAGUCUCUGCUUAUUAAUGUUCAGAGUAUGAUACCAUGAGUAAAAUAGGAAACCUUGUUUGUAUAAUUAGAAACUCCAAUUGUGUAAGUAUUAGAAUAUUUGGGGUUUCCUUUUCUCUUCUUGAGAAUUGAAAUAACUUUUAGUUGGCUUACUUCAUGCAGCUUGGAGGCAUGUUCUUGGAAAAAAUGGCCAUCUCAAUCAAGUUGACACUGCUCUUUUGAAGUGUAAUUUUCUCUAGUACUUUGUAGAUGUAGUUAACUUUUUGGGGCAUUAGCCUAUGAUUUCCACUCUUUGAGUAGGUUAUCCCUGUCAUCUUGAUCUUUUUAUUUGUAUGCUUUUAGCUAAUAUGUUCUAUAUUGGAACUAGUGUGUUUUUCACUUCGUAUGUUUUUACACAUUCUUAAUACCUUUUUUCAUAUCUAUAUCUUCUUUUCUUUUUAGAAUUCCUCUCAUGUUUAAUGCUAAACAUAUGCAAAGUUUUUAGAACUAGGAUCUUUAUAUAGUUACAAUUAAGGAGUCAAGAAUUCAUUGCAUGUGGCAUGCAUAGUUGUUGGAAUGUCACAUGCUGCAUGUUGUUCCAUGCUGAAUCUCAGUAGAGGCUGUUUUGCUGAUGGUACUAGAUGAAAAAGGGAAGAAAACUGGAAACUAAAAAGAAUGAAUGAAGAAACAACAGUUUUUUCUUUGCUUUGGAGGAAUGCUGCAUCAUUCCCAUAAAUCUCUUGUGGCCAUCAUACAUGGCAGAUGAUUGUGAGCUUAACACUGAGGUGAGUAGUAACUGUGAAAAGAGUUAGGCCAUAAAAAGGGAAACCCAAAAGCAUACAAUCAAAAUCUGUUGUCAAUCUAGCUGUGGCUUGAUUUGGUUGAUUCUAGUCUGGUUGGUUCCGUAGCGAACAUUGAUGGAACACGUUUCAGAGAUUCUUCAACAUGAUGCAAUAUGGUGGGUUAAAUCUCAUUGAAAUGUUACAUGAUACUUUGGUGGACGUGCCUGAAGCUUUUUAUCGCUGAUUGGAACGUAGUGUUGCUCAUCUUCAAACAUUUAAAUGGUAGUUCUUCUCCAAGCAAAUAAUAUUUUACGUAUGUGAAUUUGUGGUUUCUUUGCAAUAUAUCCUCUUUUGCAUUGUGAUCUCUUAAUUUCUAGAUUGAAUGACCUGUCAAUAUGAACCUUUUGGUUGUGGUAAUACUUCUAUGCAAUUGGCUCCUAAAUAGGAGGAUGUAGCUCUGGCAACAUAUUCCACAAGAUAUAUCUUUUGGCUGGCAGGUCUUUACUAAUUAUGGGAACUGCUCUCUGAUAAUUAGAUUGCAUUACCUAUUUCCAAUCAUAAUUUAUGCAACUUAAGUCUAUUUAUGAUAUAUAUCUUCUCCAAACUUAGUGUUGGUUUAAAGUUUGGUGUCUAUAGCUUUUCUCUUUUCAUUUUGUUGCCUCUGAUUUUAUCAUUGAAGUGUCUAUGUUAGGUGAUCUGGUUUGUGUAAGUAUGUAAAAUAUUUUCUUAGGUAAAAUGAUAUCCAGUGGUCUUGGAUCUGAAGAUCUAGUAGAUUUCUAAUAUAUUGCAAAAGCACCUGAGUUAAGGUAGAUGGUGUUCAACACAAGGAAGAAAUUUCUGAGAAUCAUUAUAAUCGUAUGUUAGCAAUAGAAACAUGUAGCAUCUAUUUUGUAAUUUUAAAUUUUUAGCUGCAAAGUUAACAAGUUUAUUGUUGGACGUAGACAUAAACAAUGCAUUAUAAAUAUCACAUAUUUUAACAGUUGUGAAUAAACACAUAGCAUACAUUUUGACAAAGUUCUUAGUUGCAAAGUUAGUUUUAUUUUUGGGUGUAGACAUAAAAAAUGCAUGAUCAAUAUUGCAUCUUUUUUACAAUCAUGAAUAAGCACCGCAAGACCAGCUCUCUAGAUAUACCAUCUAUGAAAAUUCUGGAGUGGAAAAGUUGCAUUUAUAUAAUAUUGUAUACUCUUGAUCCCUUGAAUCUCUAGAAGUGCAAGGACCUGAACAGUAAUCUCCAUUAGAUCACCGUUUUUAGAUGAACAGUAUGAAGCCCUUUAGUUGUGCUACUAUAAAAAGAUAAAAUGGAAUAAAGUACUAAUUCUGGUUGGUAUUGUGAAUGAAUAAAGCUAUGAUGACAAAUGUCCAAUACACAGUCAACUUGGCUUGCUUAGUCAAGGCUGCUCGGUUUAUUCAGCCAGUUUAACCAACCAAAAUUUACUGAUGCAGAAGUUGCCAAUCUCAUGAAAAAGUGAAUUAUUGGACCUACCAGAAAAGGGAAUAAAUCUGGAUUUUGCAGGACCUUAAAAAUUCUGUUAAUGUGCUAUGGGAAUAGAUUCAAUUCUUCCUGAUGAAUUCCCACUCACAUUAUACUUAUCUGUAAGAAUAUGAAGAUUAGGACUUUGACGGUUUGUAUAUAUUCCAAUGAAUGAACAAGGUGCAUCUGAUUAUCUAAUGGCUUUUGUCGGGUAGUGGUCACUGGAGAAUGCUUUUGCAGUUUCAAGCAUCCAUGUAUGAAUAUUUUAUUGUUGAACUUAAUUGAGUAUACUUCUAUAUGCUAAUUGCAAGGAAUAUGUCCAUCAGAACACUGCUAAAUUUUUUCAAGAAGGAUAUUCUCAUAUUACUGCUCUUGGCACUUCACCAUUAUUUUGUUCCUCAUUGUUUUGCUAAUCCCACUCAACCAUUUGGAUUAUGGAGUGGCAUAAGUUUACUUCAUCAGUUUGGCAGUGGGCUUUAGAUGAGUAGUGAAGAAUUCUAUUGAAGCCAAAGAUAUCAAAGGCAACAAUGUUGAUGGAAAGCAAGUCUGUUCCAAAUUUGUGAUUGAAAGAGGAAGCAGGAAAAGAGGGACGUACAUAUUAUAAGUCGGUCGUGACUCAUUUCCACUAAUCUUUAUCCAGUCUGAUGUUGACCUAGAAUGCCAAAGUGAUUUAACUUAGCAAAAUUCCAGACAAUUCAAAGUGUAGGUUUGAAAAUAAUCUUUCAGAAUUACUGGCCUCAAAUUAGUGGUUGUUGGUCAUGUUACUUUAAUACAUAAUUGUGUUAUAGGUUUAUGCAGCCCAUUCCAAAUAAGAAACUGAUAUGAGUAAAGUUUAAUGUUUGAACCUACUUUACUCUAGUUAAGAUGUGAAUUUGAGAUUUAGUAGGAGGACAAUCAGUUUUGCUUUAGUAGUUACUUUAAUCAUAUUAGUUGUGAUUUAUUUUACCGUUGGUUUAGAAGUCUAAAUGAAGUAUCCCCCAAUCCUAUCCUUGUAUAUAUUCAGUAGCACCUUUAACAAAUCAGAAGGAUUUCUAGAAGUAUUUAGAUUAAUAUAAAAGAAAGUUCAGCCAAUAGGAGAAACAAUAAUUAUCCAGUUGUGGGAUCCUGGAUGGUCAGGACAACAUUUAAGCAUUGUAUCAAUAUCUAGCAUGUCAAUUAUCAAGCCAUACAACACUUGGAUUCAAUCAAAAAAGGUUUCUGGAUGGUUGGUUGGCUCUUGUUAGUUCUAAUUUCUUUCUUGUUUUUUGAACAUUUUGGCUUCUGUCUUCAAAGAUCUUGUCCUAAUAACAUCUCUUGUCUCUUCCAUUCUAAUUUCUUUUAUUUGUUGCACUAAUCAUUACCCACUUAAGUGACUUUUCCUGCAUAGUAACAAUCUAUAUUUGGAUUAGAUAGGUUUUGAUUUAUCAGGAAGGUUUUGUCAUAUAGAUGAAUCGGAUACAGGUUUAUGCUUUUGUAAGAAUCUCUUUGUAUUUUUGCUGAUAUAAGAAUCUUUGUUAUAGUACAAACUUUUAUCAAGUGGAAGGCCUGAAAGAUAUCGUGACAACAAAUGCCAAAUUGGAAUUCACCCAAGCAUGUUUUCUCUCAGUGUAUAUCUCUUCCUUACCGAGAUUGCUCCACCAAGAGCUUAUGAUUCGCUUACUGGAGAUUUCAGCUGCACACGUCUCACAAUCAUUUCACUAGUUGCCGCCAUUUCUGUGACAUGGACCUCAUCCGAGCAGGAGCAUAGAGAGAAAUAGAGGUAAAGACCCUCGACUUCCAUGAGCCACUGAAUCAUCCACCAUCUUCUUGGCCGCUCUCUUUUUCCAUCUCUUUGGCUAAUAAAAUAGAGACUCCUGAAAAUUCAGUGUUGGCAUCUAUUUGGCAACAAAGACAUGAACGGUUUCUAUGUUUGCAGUCCUUGAUAUCAAUGUCGGGAUUAUUAGAUGACACUGUUGGUCCUCUCCAGACAUGGCUACCAAACAGAUUUUACAUGCUAGAAAUCCUAAGACUAAGACUGAGGUUUAUGAAGGUGACUUCCAUUUAUCAUCUUGUGUUGUUCAGCUUUUACAAACUAGGUGAAGCCCUUGCCGGAGUGAUGACUGACAUCAGAGAUCGCAGCCUGCUAACAAGCGCUUCCGACUUCUUUUCAUUUUGGUGGCUUGGUUCUUCAAGGUAGAGUUGUUUUCAUAUGCUGUUAUCAAGUGUUAUAGCCUCAACUAACUAAUUGCCUAUAGUGCCUGUGCCAGGUCCAGUUUCUCUAGAUGCCACCUGUUACCUGAAAUUGAGAUGCUAGAUAUCUGAAAGCGAUAGGAUGUACUGUGAGUGAAGGUUUCAUAUUUUUCAUCCAAUACUAUCAGCUAGGAUGGUUUUGGAGUCUUCAGCUAGUGGCAGCCUAAAAGAAGAAUUCACAGGUUCGCAAUACCGAACAAAAGGUGACACACUUGACAAAAGAUUGGGGCAAGCAUGCUAAUAAUGGUAAAUGAUUUUCAAAGUAUCGUUGGCAAUCAUCGAAAGCAAAACACUUUGAGUCGAGCUGCACAAUGCAAAGCCGGAGACGAGGGGUCAUAUCCUAUUUCUCACUUUGUUGAAGCUGUUGACUCUUUCUGGUGCCAGAGUCUGACUUGCAAUCAAUGCAGCCCAUUUGAAGGAACACCAUGGAGGCCUACCACCACUUGCCUCACCCCUUAAGAGAAGCCAUGUGAUAUGAUGGUACUCCACCUCUUGAUACAACUCCACUUUGCGGUCUGCACUUGAGCCCACCACUCAAGUAACAGAGGCCAUGCACCAUUUGAAGAUGGUACAAUCACUGUUGGGUGCAACGGGGAUUACUGUAGCAUCCAUGUUGGAAUAGUGAAGGUGGGUCUCACUGAUUUGAGCUCAUUUUUAUCUCCAACGAAUCGAGAAGGUUAUCUUCCUUCUGUCUGCAGAUGGCAGUGCAUUGAGGAUAAAUUUUUAAAGGGACUUCGUAACCUGCUGUCUACACUUAUCACAGGGAUGCUCAACUAUGGGAAUACAAAUUCAUAAGUUGAAAGGCCAGAAUACUCAAGGUAAAAUUUGUUGGAGGUUUGGAGCAUAGUAUGAUUUAGAAACUAAGAUUACAUUUGGCUGGGCCUUGCAUCGAAUUCAGUACAGUGCAGAUGUUUAAUACAAGAUAGAAAAUUCGGUAACAUGACAUGAUUCUAUCUUCUACCAGAUCCCAGUUUGGGGAUAUUGGUGGUAGAAGGGGUCGCAUUGUUGCAGCAUUGCUUCCAUGCUUAUCAGCACACAAAAAGUUAUUGAUGCUACUGUUGGUGACACUACUUAAAAGAGGAGUCUCUUGGUCCACCUUAUCUCGUCAACCAUAGGAGGCCAAGAAAAUAUCCAAUCUUGGGUCCCAAAAGGGAACCCAUUGCUACUGUGGAAUGGUUUCCAAUUAGAUCAGGAACUGUAAGAAAGAGGAGGCUGAGGGAGACUUCUAAUCACUCUGUUACACAACCCACCAACAAAGGAGGUCCCCUUCCACCUACAAUUCGACAACUACGUUGGUGCUCAUUCUGUAUCAUGUAGCCCAAAUCUUUCUCUGGAUUCCACUGUGCCACCACCGGCAACUCGGUCCACGAGCACAUCGUUCAAGUGACUGCCAUCAUGUUAUCAAUCUCAAUUAUUGGAUCUGAAGUUGGCGCCGACGCAAUAGAUGCAUGUAACGGAAUCUUGAAUUCCAUGGGGCUACCAGCUUUCCUAGGCAUGUUCUUGUGAUGCCUUCUUUCCUUUGGCAAAGUAGCAUGCUUGAUACUUUGGUCUUAGACCAAUCAAAUGAACAUGAAGAUUAGAUGUGGGAAGUGAAAGCCACUCCUAGUUUCAGAUCCUCCUUAUCUCAAGAUGGUUCCAGAGUGAUGCUUAUUUAUCAAAUAAUGUUGAUCUAUAUGGAAGAAAGAAACCCCUCAACUAAUGAUUCUCUUGAGAGGCACUUGAAAUUGCUGUUAUUUGUCCAGCCAUUAAGGUAAUAAUUAUAACCUUAAGCAAGAAAACUAUGUUAACUAAGUUAUUUUUAGCUGCUACAGUAAAAGGUUACUAGAAAGAUGUGGGGUUCACAUUUUGGAUUCCUUGUUCGUAUAAUAGAGCAUGAACUAAAAAAGAAUCUGGAUAGAAAAAAGGUAUGUUAAGGAUAACUUUUUUUUGUUUAUUACAUAAUCUUAGUCCAGUUGAAAAAGUUAAUUAAUACUAAUAUAUGAGUCUUUGGAAUAGAAAAAAUGACACAUAUGGUGUCCCAUAACUUCAAAUGUCUGACAUGGUGCUCUGUUGAUUGUAAUAUACUUUUUACAAUGAUUAUUUCUUUUAGAAAAGUUUACAAUGAUGACUUCAGCUAAUAUACCAGAGCAGAACACCUGACACUAGAUUCUGAUAUGAUAUUAACCCGAUUAUAAAUUAUUGUAGGAGUUAGUAAAAUUAAAGGAUUAAUUAGUCUUAGGGUGGAGACACUAGUUCCUUCGGUUACGAUUGCUAAAAGAUGGAGAAUGAUGCGGGGCUUAUCUUGUGGGGCUAAGUGGAUCCCGGUGCAGGGAUGGUGGGGGACAAGGGUGGACCAAGGUUGAGGGGCAGAGAGCAUCAAAUGGGAACAAAAGGAGAUGAGCAUGUGUUGUGUUCUGGGGCCAAAGUUAGGGAAAAAAAAAAGUCCCAACAGGACAGAUAAAAACUGCUAUAGGAUUGUCCACUAACAAGGCUUUCGUUGUUCUGAUCUGACUAAUUUUGUUGUAGGAUUUAAGCUCAAUAUUACUGAUAUAUCUUUCAUUUUCUUUUUCUUGGUAGAAGAUGUCCCUUUAUUAUGGAGAAAUAUACAUGAUCUAGUCUGGUAGUAACAUGAUGAUUAAUGUUGGUAUUUUCUUGUUUGUUAACUUACUGGAUAGAAACACAUUAUGAAGGUUUAGAAUUGUAGAUUGGCUUAAGUGAUUGCUACUGUAGGAGUUGGAAAACAAAUGUUACUAAAUAUUUUAGCUAGAUAAUAAUGGCAAUGCAAACUGUUAACUUUUACUUGAAGCCAUCAUGUUUCUUGUUUGCCGCUGUACCUGUUUUUAGGAGCUUGACAAGCAGUUUAUCUUCAUUACCUAAUAAUGUCUCUUGUGCCUUGUUCUUCACUUUUUUUCUUAUAGCUAAUACAUUUUUGAGGAUUUGAGAUCUACCAGAAGAUCCAAGCACCCACAAAAGUUUCAGCUGUUUAUGAAGCAUGCCAUGCUGAGACAUCAACAGGGACCUGGUGAAAUGAUAUAUCAUAGCACUACAAUCUCAAGCACCCCUAGGAGAAUUUUUCACUACAAUCUCAAGCACCCACAAAAAUUUCAGCUGUUUAUGAAACAUGCCAUGCUUAGACAUCAACAGGGACCUGGUGAAAUGAUAUAUCAUAGCACUACAAUCUCAAGCACCCCUAGGAGAAUUUUUCAGUACAAUCAGCAGGUCCUCAUUCCAAUAAUGUAUCACUUUGUGGACACACACCUACUAGUUUAGCGGGUCAAUGGGAAAUAUUUAUUAGCAAAGGGGACAUUCUUAUGCUUUAAUCGAGGUUAUGUUGGUUGUAAAGCUGCUUUUUGGCGACAUAGAUUGUAAAUUAAUGCCCCUAACAAAAAAAGUUUGGAUCUAGUGGCCUACAUUAUCAUGAUUUCGAUCACUAAUUUAAACAGUAUGCAGUAGAUCCAAUAGUUCCCUUUCUUGUUGCUGCAUAUGGCUCUACUUGUGACAUUUUUUGAGUAGCUAUUGUUUCGUUCUAAAUGUUUGGGUACUUGGCAUGCAGUCUGAUUUGAUGGCAUGAUGGUAAGAGUAACGUAAAACACUAGACAUGCCAUCGGUGGAUCACACUGUUGAAAUAUGAACCAAUUUUUACCAUUGGUCAACUCUGAAUUAAGCAUUUAGUUAUGUAUAUUUACCAUACUGUCAAUGAUAUUAUUUGCUACAUUUUGACUGAAAUGUUUUGAAGAAAAGAUCAAAUGUUUGUUCACAAAAUUUUCUUGGAAAAGACAGUCCUCCUCUUCGUUUGAAUCUUUCUUCUUACUGACAUGUUAAUUCUCAUGUGAAAGGUUUAGCAGAAAAGAAAAGGAUGAGAGACAAUUUUUCUUGGUCAGAGCCUUGGUGAUGGCAAAACAACAAAUUCCCUUUUGGCUUUUCUCUGUCUAAUUUUGGGCACCAUUCCAAUAUGGUGAAAGGUAAUUCUGAAAGCUUCCGUGUGCUAUUUUUCUUCUAUUUUCUCUUUCAACUAUUAUGAAAUAAAAUUAAUCUUAAAACGAGUGAAAUAAAAAUAUUCUAUAAGGAUUAUUAAUUCUUGUCCAUUUCCUUGGUUAGCAUUGUUAGGAUAGCGUAGAGGCCUGAAAGGUGCAUGUAUUUGGUAGAGUGCUGUGUCUUUUGGCUGACAAAUUGCUUUAACAUGUCAUACAUCUAUGUCACUUUAGACGUACACAAGAAACAUGAUCUGAAUUCAACUUAACUUUAUGAAUCUUAUAUUUCAGACAAACAAACAAGUCAUCAUAACUAUAAUGGUGUCUUAUUGAAGUUCAUCGAAUUAUUUACUGCCUAAAUUGUUUGCAGCACAGAAAUAGAAAUUGUAUGCAUUUGAUGCUAACAGAUGUCAUCUAUAUUAUAUCAACUUGAUGCAGUAUCCUAGGUAGGUAUUAAAGGAGACUGCCAUAUAUAAUAUACUAAGUAUUAUAGAUCUAUCCCAUGGAAUCAACUAAGCUUAAUAAUUCAGUACACAUAUUUAAAAUCAAGUGGGCAUAGUUAAACCAAUUGCAAUCAGAACCAUGCAAUUAUGAAGAAUAUAGUUACUUACAGAUGUUUGAUCAAUUAGGCUGAUUUCUAAACCGUAGCUUUUUCCUUAUUAUCUUAAUUGAAUAGUCACACUACCACAAAAGAUAUAUGUGAGCAUUGAAUACUGACAUUAGGAUAAGAUAAAAAAUGUGUCUCUGUAUUAUUUGAAUUCCUAAGCAAUUAUCAUAAAAUUAUUCAGCCAAAAAAAAUAUAUACCCAAUUUCUAAGCAGUAGCUUUUUCCUUAUCUUCAUUGUUCAGAUAUGAAUGAGAAAAUAUAUGUGAGCAAUGAAUACUAACAUUAAGAUAAGAUAAAAAAUAUGUCUCUGUAUUAUUUGAAUUCUUAAACAAUUAUCAUAAAAAUUUUCAACCAAAAAAAAUAUACACACAAUUUCUAACCUUUUCUCUUUUGUUGUUCCCUUCAGUCCACAUGCAUUGCUACAAUUUCUAACCUUUUUCUAUGAGGAAAAAAAAAAGUAGACAGAUCUACCAAAUCUCCCCACUUUUUUUUGUUGUUGUUGUUUUUUUUGUCUUUCUUUUAAUAUCGAGUUAAUUUCCAAGUAUUUUAUUGAAGCACAACGUGCGGCUGCCCACCCGAGCGGCGCGAGUAGUUACCCACACUAGUCUACCCUUUUCAGUAAACAAAGCUAUUAAUAGGUUAUAGUAUUAAUUAUUCCAUUAAAAAAAUAUAAAGAAGAAAAGUUAAUUGAGACACCGCCGGAAACUCACAGUGUUUUGUCGGUAGAUUAAUUCAAAAAAAAAAUAAAAGCAUUAAUAAUCUCUUUCACAUGCACGAAAAUAAAAUGACAUUUAUCAUCAUUUUUUUGCCUCCAUUACAAUGACAUGAUUAGACGAUGACGUGAAGUAUUAUACUCUUCAUGUACACAUUACGACCCAAAUCGAAGUAAAAGACAUCUCGUUUCUUCUUCCUCUCCUCCGUUUCCUUACUCAGCGCUUUGGAAUAUACUCGUCUUCCUCGCUACCUCUAUCUCUUCUUCUCUUCUCUCUCUUGUGUACUCUCUCUCUCUCUCUCUCUCUCUCAAAGAUCACCACUUUUAAUGGUCGCUGGCUCUCUUUGCGGAUCACCGCCUCUCGAGCAUGAUUACAUAGGUCUCUCGGAGCUCCACUGCCCCGCCGCCGCCGCCGGCAUUGGCGGCGGCGGAGCCGAGGACGGGGCUCUCAACCUGAAGGAUACGGAGCUGAGGCUGGGCCUCCCUGGGUCGGAGCCCGCUGAACGGAAGGACGAGGUUGGCCUCACCCUGGGGCGCCUCCCUAAGGUCUUCGUCUCCGGCGCCAAGAGGGGGUUCUCUGACGCCAUCGACGGGGCGGGGAAGUGGGGCCUCGCUGCCGGAGGGGGCGGAUCCGAGGUGGAGGGCGGGAAAGGUGGCGCCUUGUUCUCGCCGAGAGGGGAGAACGGUGGCGGGGGGCUGCUGCCCGGGCACGGCAACGCCGGCAAGGAUGUGGUGGCGAAGGCGGCCGGGCAAGAGCGGAAGGCCGCCGCACAGGUUGGGAAUUCUGCUGGUAGUAGUGAUCGUGGCG
RNAcentral lists this long non-coding RNA (30027 nucleotides) under Musa acuminata (dwarf banana). RNAcentral describes it as "long non-coding RNA (MACU_LNC003874)". Lineage: Eukaryota; Viridiplantae; Streptophyta; Magnoliopsida; Zingiberales; Musaceae. The record is from RNAcentral.